This 2045-nucleotide ribosomal RNA is filed under the name marine metagenome. RNAcentral describes it as "bacterial LSU rRNA". It matches the Rfam family "Archaeal large subunit ribosomal RNA", at positions 922 to 2987 of the family's 2987-position model. The record is from RNAcentral.
AAUAGCUGGUUCCUCUCGAAACUGCUCGCAGGCAGACCUCAGCUGAGACGGGGCAUGCGGUAGAGCACUGAUUGCGUGUUUAGGAAGCGAAAGUUUUCGGCAUGCUGUCAAACUCCGAAUGUGUGUCCGUUGUAGAAGCUGGGCAGUGAGGGCAUCGGGGUAAGCUUGAUGUCCAUAAGGAAAACAAACCAGACCAAAGUUAAGGUCCCUAAGUAACAACUAAGUGUUAAAGAACAAAUAGUGUUUGAAAGCACAGACAGCUGGAAGGUUGGCUUAGAGGCAGCCAUCCUUUAAAGAGUUCGUAACAGAUCACCAGUCAAGUUCUUGAGCCUAGAAAAUGGACGGGACUAAGUUGUUCACCGAUACUUUGGGCCACCGAAAGGUGAUGCGGUAGAGAGGCGUCGUGCGCGGGUGGAAGUGGGGCCGUGAGGUCCUGUGGACCGCGUUCGAAUGAUAAUCAUGGAAAUAGUAGUAGCGUAGAUGGGUGAGAAUCCCAUCCGCCGGAGGGGCUAGGGUUCCUCGACGAUGUUCAUCAGUCGAGGGUUAGUCGGUCCUAAGGUUCCCCCUAACAGGAGGAAUCGAAAGGGAAGCAGGUUAAAAUUCCUGCACCAAUUCAUAUUUUGUCCAGUUCCUGACACAUCGGGUCUUGUGGAGCACUCUUGUCGGAGUGUUGCCUUGAGCAAUAAAAUUGUGGAGUACCGUAAUGGUGAGAAGCAAACUAAGCUUUUGGGAGGCGGAGUAUUCCGCUUCUGCGUUAGCCUGGUGUCCGUGAAAAGGGAGCUGGAGCCGUAUGAGUUGUCCGUACCGAGAUCUGACACAGGUGCCCCUAGGUGAGUAGCCUAAGGCGUCGCGGCAGAAUCCGGGCGAGGGAAUUCGGCAAAUUAGCCCCGUACCUUUGGUAUAAGGGGUGCCAGCUCUGAAGAGAGCUGGUCGCAGUGACUAGGGAGCUCCGACUGUUUAUUAAAAACACAGGUGGCUGCUAGUCCGUAAGGAUGUGUAUAGCCGCUGAAUCCUGCCCAGUGGCAGUAUCUGAAACCAGGUUUCAACCUGACGAAGGACUGCUAAACGGCGGGGGUAACUAUGACCCUCUUAAGGUAGCGUAAUACCUUGUCGCUUAAUUGGCGACUUGCACGAACGGCCUAACGAGAGCUCUACUGUCCCCGCCCGGAGCCCGAUGAAAUUGACUUACUGGCGCACAGUCCAGUACGUCCCAGCCGCAAGCGAAGACCCCGUGGAGCUUUACUGCAACCUGCCGUUGUGGCACGAGUUGUUAUGUGUAGCGUAGACGGGAGACAUUACACAGGUGCGAGCGCUAGCUCGUCGCCGAGUCAACUAUGAAACACCGUCCUUUUCGAUUCGUCCCACUCACCUCUUAGGAGGAACCCCGGUAGGCGGGCAGUUUGGGUGGGGCGCCACUCCCUCGAAAAAAUAACAAGGGAGCCCAAAGGUCAGCUUAGGUAGGUCAGGAAUCUACCGUUAAGUGCAAGGGCAAAAGCUGGCUUGACGUGGUUUGGCAACACAACAAACCACGAUGUGAAAGCAGGGCCUAGCGAACCAACCAGCGCCGUUAGUAGGUGCGGUUGAUAACAGAAAAGUUACCCCGGGGAUAACUGAGUUGUCUGGAGCAAGAGCCCACAUCGACCUCCAGGCUUGCUACUUCGAUGUCGUCUCUUCCUAUCCUGGGUGUGCAGAAGCACCCAAGGGUGGGGUUGUUCGCCCAUUAAAAGGGAUCGUGAGAUGGGUUUAGACCGUCGUGAGACAGGUUUGUUGCUAUGUGCUGGGACUGUCCAAUGCCUGAGGGGAAGGAUCCUCUAGUACGAGAGGAACGAGGGUUCGCAGCCACUAGUUUACCAGUUGUCUGACAAGGCACCGCUGGGCAGCCACGCUGUAAGGGAUAAGAGCUGAAAGCAUCUAAGCUCGAAACCCGCCUCAAAACGAGGCAUUUUGACACUUAUAGAAGAUAAGAUUGAUAGGACCGGGGUGUAAGCACCGAGAGCUAUAGUGUUGUUGGAAGUACUACUUCGGUAGUGCGGAAAAUAACAUUU